AUGGACAAAGGCAAGUGGAAAUCUGAUUUAUCAAGUUAUACUCAUCUUAGCGCCCAAGACCUUCAUUCUGGCUUUUUGAACAGCUUGUAUACCAGCCGCGACUAUGAAGCCGGCUUAGUGGGCCUGAUGAAGGAUCGUUAUGAGGCUAAACUGACCAAAAAAGAUUCCCAAAUCACCGAUCUUCAGGCAAAUAUCAAGUCUCGGCAAGAUGAGACUUGCAAGGUAAAAGGCGAGCUGACCACCGCUUUAACAACCAUGGAACAACUGAAGGAGUACUUCAAAGGUGAACGGGCAGACUGGGAAGCCGAAAAAUCUACUAUGUUAAAACGGGCAGAAGACGCUGAAAACACCCUUAAACCGGCGAUAGAAGAACUGAGCAGCUUGAAGCGGCAGAUCAAUGCCAUGAGCUCUGCCAUCUUUGGUAGCCGUGUUACUCAUCUUGGCGCAGAUAUGCGUAAAAAGUUGAAGGCUGCCUAUACUUUGGUAGAGCAAUUAUAUACCGGCGCUCAACGAGCCAUCUGCACAGCUUCCAAUAAUAAACCGCCCCCAACGCUGAUCAAGGAAACACUGGAGAGGUUAUCCAUGCUGCCUGCCCGGAUUGAAGAAUUGAAGAAAUCAGCUGCUAGGGCCGGUGCUCUUACUGCCUUGACUCGUGCCAAAGCCUGGAUAUCUGACUUCGAUCCGGAAGACAUUGGGAAUGGUUAUCCAAGCCAGAAGGAGGACCGUUCAGAAUUUGAUAAUGAUGAUCUCAGGGCUAUCAAUCGAGAAAUGAGUCCACUGGCAAGCAAGUUGGCUGAAGAUACUGACUUGUCGUUUUAUCACAAUCUUUACGAUGCCAGCGGCAAGAGGACGUAUGCACCAACUUAUGACGUAGCAAACCUGAUCCCGCCAAACCGUAAGCAUACUUAUGCUGCUGAUAUUGAACUGUCCGACCUCAUAAACGAUGAAGCUGUCUUCCAAGCCUUAACCGGGAUUGAUUGGACAACUGUUGACUUCCAGCCCCUGGGUGGCGAGAGGGAGGUUGAACUGGCGCAGGAAGACCCGCAACCUUCGCAUCAGCCUGAGGCAGAGUCAUAA
This 1077-nucleotide ribosomal RNA is filed under the name Triticum aestivum (bread wheat). RNAcentral's name for it is "partial small subunit ribosomal RNA". The record is from RNAcentral. Lineage: Eukaryota; Viridiplantae; Streptophyta; Magnoliopsida; Poales; Poaceae.